GUAGAUGUAGUUUAAUAAAAACAUUAGAUUGUGAUUCUAAAAACAGAGGUUGAAAUCCUCUCAUUCACC
RNAcentral lists this transfer RNA (69 nucleotides) under Rhabdosargus sarba (goldlined seabream). Its description in RNAcentral is "tRNA-His". It matches the Rfam family "tRNA". Rfam says of the family: Transfer RNA (tRNA) molecules are approximately 80 nucleotides in length. Their secondary structure includes four short double-helical elements and three loops (D, anti-codon, and T loops). The record is from RNAcentral. Lineage: Eukaryota; Metazoa; Chordata; Actinopteri; Spariformes; Sparidae.